Molecule: long non-coding RNA, 2220 nt
Organism: Apis laboriosa (Himalayan honeybee)
Lineage: Eukaryota; Metazoa; Arthropoda; Insecta; Hymenoptera; Apidae
Exons: 3
Source: RefSeq, a predicted model, not a curated record
GAAUGUAUGAAAAAUAAUUGAAUCAAUAAACGAUAUUUAUAAACUUCUUAAUAAAAAUAAAAUAAUUAUAUAAUAAAUAUUCUUCGAUUUUUAUUUAGUGUUUAUCAAUAUUUGAUUCAAAAGAACUAGAUAGAAUCAAUUUCGAAUUCUUAAACAUGUAAUCAAUGCUAUGUAGAAAUAGACUCGUGAAUUAAUAGUAAAAAGAAGAAAAAAAUGCAUUAAAGAAACGAUCAUAAAAAAAAAAAAGUACAACGUUCCAAUCAAAAAAGUAAUUCAAUCAAUGAACUGUGAAACAAUAAAUUUUCACGAAGAAAAUAAAUACAGCAUCGUAAGAGAAUACCAUCAUUACCAUUAUCAAAAGAUUGAAACAAACCUAACCUCAACUUCGAGCCACACGCUUGAAAGCCGACUUUCUCCAUCACCAUAUAUUACUUGAUGUAUGUACCCAUAAAUACGUGUCUCUCUUCGUGAACCGUAUCACAAAUCCUUUCCAAGUUUUAUUUAAGCAACGCAAGAAGGCAGAAAAGAGUGGAUAUUAUAUACAGUAUCGUUUAAUCGGACGAAAAAAAAGCGAGAAAGUUGAUGGUGCGGUGUUCUUGAUUGUUUAUCAACAGGUUACCGGUAGAAUGGAAGCGUUUGGAUCUCUCGGUGGAUCGAUCCCGAAUCAGUGAAGCGUAACUAGUUGAAAAGAGGGUAUCGGCCGGGGAAAAACGUUCGAUGAUCGAAGCAUCGGAGAAGAGACGCGAUGGGAGUGGGGAUAGCAAGACACGACGCUCGCGGCCAGUUAUGGUGGCGAACCAUGCUUCAUGGUGGGGUUGAAAGGUGGCGCAGUCAUUUAUGGUUGCCGGUUGUUCAUCCGACGGUUCAGUUGCCCGUCUGACCAACAACGACAAAAACCUCAAAUGGCGAACGUACGAUGAGCAGUCGACUCGAUUAUUUGAUUUUAAGGAUCGUUAUAUGGAACCGACAACGUUUAUGAAAUUCUAUUUCUAUUAAUCAUCGGAAGUUUAUUGGUUUCUACAAUUGAUUGCUCUACAAUUGAGAUCUCGUAUAAGCUUUGAAGAGUCUAAAGAAGAAGAAGAAAAGAGUUUCGAGAUAGAAAAGUGAUAUAUGAACGAUGUUUGUGAGAAGUAUGUUUACGUUUGAACAUUAUAUUGGAGAAUUUGAUUAAUAUUUAGAGAAUUUGUUGUUUGUCAAAAUUUAAAUUUGUAUAUAAUUUGAAAUUCAGUUUGAUGAAAGAAGAAAGAAGAAUUUAAAAAAUAAAGUUAAAAAAGAAACGACUUAUUGGAAGACAUUAAUUUUGAAUAGAAAAGUGGUACCUGAAUGAAUGAUUAAUUUGAGGAAUAUAUUUAUGUUUGAUAUUUCAUGAAUAUAUCAAAAUGUUUGAUUAAUGAUUAAUAGUUUUUUAAAAUUAACUUUGUGAUUGAAGAUUGUUGUUGCAAAAAAUUGUGAUUCAAAGAAUUUCUUGAAGAAUAGGAAGAAUGGUUGAAAGUGUGCAAUAUUUCUACGAAAAUUCAAGAAGAAUAAUUCGAAAAUUCUUUACUUUUGAUGGGAAUUAAUGAUUCGAUAUUCUGCAAAUAAAGACGUAUUUCCGAAGAAUUCGCCGAAGAAAAUUAAGAAAUUUUUCAAAGGCAUUAUAUUGAAAGAUAGCCUCUUUGCUGGAAUACCAGAACGAUUUAAAGAACGUUGUGGAAAAUAGAGAUAUAUUUAUGAUUGAGAACAUAAAGUAGAUCGAGGAAUUUGAUACGAUUAUUUGAAAAGUAGUUCGAUUAAUAUUUAAAAGUGUUGAUUUUCAAAUAAUAAUCCGAACACGAAGAAUGAAAAAUUGUUCCAAAGAAUACUCCAUAAAAUAGUAGAGCUUCGACACGAAAUUUCAAGAAAAUUAUGAUCCACAAUUGGAACUAUCAUUUUUUGACGAUAUCCCGUAAGUUUCGAAGCAAAGAACUAUUCUUUGAAAAAGUUGUUUUUCGAAGUGAAAAAGUGAUUUAAAUGAUUCUUUGAAAGUGGCACGAUAUAUUUAUCUUGGAAAUCGCAAAGUGGAUCAAGCAAUUUGAACGUGAAAUUUCAAACAAGAGGAAUUCAAUCAGUAAUGGAAACCUUCUUUAUUAAUACUCUAUAAAUGAGAUUAUUGAAGAAUUUUUGAAAACAACCGAAGAAAUAUUUUGAAGUUAAAAUCGUUCUGAACGAAAUUAUAUAUUUUAGAUUCCAAUUAACAUUUAA